This 1507-nucleotide long non-coding RNA is filed under the name Malus domestica (apple). Its description in RNAcentral is "long non-coding RNA (MDOM_LNC006011)". Lineage: Eukaryota; Viridiplantae; Streptophyta; Magnoliopsida; Rosales; Rosaceae. The record is from RNAcentral.
GAUAAUAUAUGUCUGAAACUAUGAAUCACAAGACAUGUAAGUUGUAGAGAUCCAACCAUCAUGAAUCUUAGCAAGCUAGAGGGAGCUAUAAGCAUCUUAUGAGAGAAAGAUCAAAUCGUUUGAUUUCUCAUAAAGAUGUAAAUGAAUCUUUUGUUUACUAGGUUUACAAAAGAUUAGUGGGAGUUAAUCAUGUUCCUAAAUUUGAAUAUAUUUAUAUAUAUAUACACACAUAUAUGAUAUAUUAAUUUUGGAAAUGAAAAGAAUACUUCUUCGUUAAAGUUAUGACUUUAAACAUUCUAUAACGAUAGAAUGUAUAUGGGAGACAUAGUCUAUAAACAUGGGAUGGAAAUCUAUAAUUAUAGAUUUCAAGAUAUAAUUAGAUUAUAUCAAGCCCUAAUGAUAGACAAAAGCUGCUAGGAAUUUUCUCAUAUGAAGAUAAACUUCAAUCACAAGGACAACUCUAGUGAGACUAGGAAGUUGCUCUUCUCAAAGGGAACGUACCCUUUUGACUCCUAAAGAAACAUAAUGCAUAAAUAGAAUCCUUUAUGCAUACGCAGAAAGGUGAUUGACGUAUUUCAUAUUGUAUGAAAAACAUUUAUAUGAGUUGUACCUAGAACGGUACAAGACGAUAUCAGUGCAAGCCCAGGAUCACAACCAUGGCAAUUGUCAACUGAGUCCUUAAGUAUUUAAGAAAUACUAAAGGAUAUAAUCCUCAAAGAAUGAGGAAGAAUUAGAGUAACGUAAUGGAAGCGUAAAUGUAUUAGAUUAUGAAUCUAAUCCAUCAUUGGAUGUUUCUUCAUUAUGAAUGAAAAGAUAAUUAGAUAUCUUUUUAUUAUGAGUAAAGAGAUAUUUGGAUGGAAACAUUAAAAGUAAUGAAUUUAGUGUGUUCCAUUGUGAAUGCAAAAUAUAUUGCCAUAUAGAAGCUUACAACAAUGUUGUUUGGAAGGGAAAGUUCAUUUAUGAACUCUCUAUUCGGUUCCAACCAGAAAGUGUCUCCAGUGUACCGACACUAUAACACUAAUGGGGCGAUAGCUCAAGCCAGGGAAUCAAGGUCUCAUCAAGAUCUGAACUCAAAUGAGAGACUAAACCACAUGAUUGAGAAUCAUGUAUAAUGGUGACGUCGUUAUUCUCAAGGUUGCUUCUGUGGUUAACAUAUAGAAAUCCAUUGUCUAGGCCUACUACUCAACCAUUUUUGAAAUGACUACAGAAGAUGUAUCAUCACUCAUAACCAAGCUGAUUGGCUCUAGUGCAAGUGGGAGAUUGUUGGAAAUGUGCCAUAAAACCAAUCUUAUGAUGAUACUUUAUGGACAUUUCACAUGUUAAACUAAUAUAGUUUAAUAUAAUGGGCAAAGAUUAUUGUUUGAAGCCGUCUCAUAUAAAUGUUAUACGCUUAAACGAUAAGUCCAAGGAAUAUGUAAUUGGGGGAAUACGAUCUAAAGAAGUUAGAUUCAUAAGACUAUUCUCUUUCGUAUACAUAUCCUAAACGUUCCUGAUCAUAGGAUUGCCA